This 335-nucleotide unclassified non-coding RNA is filed under the name Glomeromycotina sp. Its description in RNAcentral is "partial contains small subunit ribosomal RNA, internal transcribed spacer 1, and 5.8S ribosomal RNA". The stretch from base 1 to 47 matches the Rfam family "Eukaryotic small subunit ribosomal RNA", at positions 1785 to 1831 of the family's 1831-position model. The record is from RNAcentral. Lineage: Eukaryota; Fungi; Glomeromycota.
AAAGUCGUAACAAGGUUUCCGUAGGUGAACCUGCGGAAGGAUCAUUAAACGUAUCCACGUAUAACCCACUGCGAACUCGUUUUUUCUAAACGGCCGACUUGUCAAUGGUAUGCGUUUGAGAUAAGCGUGAGUGCACAGGUGAGCGGAGAGCUUCGGUUUUCCUGCUCGGAACUCUGUUUAUCGAUGCUGCGUAUGACACGGUAUUCUUUUCAAUAUCCUGUGAUGUUUUUACAUUUUAAACUCUUUGUAUUUAAUUGAUGAACAUUCGUGUGAAAGCACGUAAAAUCAAAAAUAAAACUUAAGCACAACUCUUAACAACGGAUAUCUAGGCUCUC